Long non-coding RNA from Hipposideros armiger (great roundleaf bat), 1258 nucleotides. RefSeq lists it as uncharacterized. The transcript is spliced from 3 exons. The record is from RefSeq and is a predicted model, not a curated record. Lineage: Eukaryota; Metazoa; Chordata; Mammalia; Chiroptera; Hipposideridae.
UUGAGGUGCUUUCUCCCUGUGGGGAGGGAAUGGGGUGUGAUGAGGUGGGGAACCUGCCAUAAUAUAAGUCUUUCUCUCUCUCCAUUUUCAAGUUUAAUGCAACUCAAACUAAGUCACAGAAGGGAAUGACCCCAUUACAGGAGCUAAUUGAAGUUGUCCACGAGGUACAACUGAAAGGCAAAGGGAGGAGAACAACUAGUGACAAGGGAGCUAAGAGACCCCACCCUGGACAACGCACCCUUGUGUUAUAAACAUCUGCCACAGGAGCAUGAUGAAUGGAAGAUGGCACAGCCCUCGGAGUCAGAAGGUCUGGAUCCAAAUGCUACUCACUCUGUAGUCUUGGUGCUACCAGAAGAUAUGACAGAUGUCUGUAUUUAUCCAAGCCAAAAGAAAAAUAGUGUUAGUGCUGAGACAUAUUUUCAGCCUGAGCUUACCAAGAACCCACUUCAGUUUCAACCCAAAGUUGGAUAUACUCCAUAAAGCAAGCUGAAAAACCUCAAGAGGCCAAACCAUGCAACAGAAUUACCAGAGACAGAAAACCAACGUCACACGCCUCCUCAUUUCCUUUCUCUGAGAGCAAAGAAAAUGGAGACUACUCCACAUGUCACUGGACAAAGCUCAAAAGAGCCACUCAGAGACCACACACGCCGCUGGAAAGAAGUCCAAUCGAGACCUCUUAAGAGUUACACUCUCACACUCCUGCUUGGAAAACUCGACCUUUCAGCUUCCUUGGAUGAACCAUGCUCUCUUUCAAAUCCAGGCUUGGUGCAUACUGUCCCAUUUGCCUGGAAUACCCUCCUCCCACUGCCUGCCCAAUCCCCCAUUUUCAUGUAGUCAAAUCUUAUUUUCCUUCAGUUCACAGUUCCUCAAGAAUACCUCCCAUGAUCUCCCAGAUUUGAUUAUACCUCCUUGCAUCCUGAACUUUUCCUUGUCUAAUAUUUAUCACAUUUCUAGUUAUUUGUUCAAUGUCUACCUUCCCUGAUUGGUUGUAAAUUUCAUAGCUCUGAACAAGAAAAUAGAGGCGUGUGGGAUAGCCUGAUUAAAUUGGAAAAGAAUGCAGAGAAAGUUUUCCUUAUUCUUAUACAAAUAACAAAAAAGGGGGGAUUUUUGGAAAAGAAAAAUGAAGUAAAGACAACACUAACAUUCAAAUAUAUAGUAAGUCCCUCUUAUGUGCCAGGCACUAGACUGUGAUAUGCUUGGGGGCUGCAAAGACCAACAAAUCAUGGUUCCUGAUCAACAAAUUAUAGUUGUUACCUUG